This 63-nucleotide transfer RNA is filed under the name Ictidomys tridecemlineatus (thirteen-lined ground squirrel). RNAcentral's name for it is "Spermophilus tridecemlineatus (thirteen-lined ground squirrel) tRNA". It matches the Rfam family "tRNA". Rfam says of the family: Transfer RNA (tRNA) molecules are approximately 80 nucleotides in length. Lineage: Eukaryota; Metazoa; Chordata; Mammalia; Rodentia; Sciuridae. The record is from Rfam by way of RNAcentral.
GGGAGGUAGCUCAGUGGUAGAGCACAUGCAAUGAAGCCCUGGGUUCAAUUCCCAUCACUCCUA